RNAcentral lists this ribosomal RNA (700 nucleotides) under uncultured bacterium. Its description in RNAcentral is "bacterial SSU rRNA". It matches the Rfam family "Bacterial small subunit ribosomal RNA", at positions 8 to 680 of the family's 1533-position model. The record is from RNAcentral.
AGGGUUUGAUUGGCUCAGAACUAACGCUGGCGGUGUGUCUUAGUCAUGCAAGUCGCACGAGAAAGCACUCUUCGGAGUGCAAGUACAGUGGCGGACGGGUGAGUAACACGUGGGAAAUCUGCCCUCAAGUUGGGGACAACCCGCCUAACGGCGGGCUAAUACCGAAUGUGGUUCCUGCUUCGCAUGUGGCGAGAACUAAAGGUGGCCUAUCCUUGGAAGCUACCGCUUGUGGAUGAUCCCGCGCUCGAUUAGCUAGUUGGUAAGGUAACGGCUUACCAAGGCGACGAUCGAUAGCCGGCCUGAGAGGGUGAUCGGCCACACUGGGAUUGAGAUAAGGCCCAGUCUCCUACGGGAGCCAGCAGUCUAGAAAUUUGGGCAAUGGGCGAAAGCCUGACCCAGCGACACCGCGUGGGGGAUGAAGCUCCUCGGAGUGUAAACCCCUGUUAGGUGGGACGAAUCCCCGGUUGCAAAUAGUGACCGGGGUUGACGGUACCACCAGAGGAAGCUCCGGCUAACUCCGUGCCAGCAGCCGCGGUAAUACGGGGGGAGCGAGCGUUGUUUCGGAUUUAUUGGGCGUAAAGGGCGUACAGGCGGUAAUGUAAGUCAGAUGUGAAAUGCCUUCGGCUCAACCGGGGAUCCUGCAUUUGAUACUGCAUUACUUGAGGUACAGGAGAGGAGAGCGGGAAUUCUAGGUGUAGCG